ACUCCUACGGGAGGCAGCAGUGAGGAAUAUUGGUCAAUGGAGGGAACUCUGAACCAGCCAUCCCGCGUGUAGGAAGACGGCCUUUAUGGGUUGUAACUACUUUAUACAGGAAGAAACGUACCCUCGUUGAGGGUGCCUGACGGUACUGUAGGAAUAAGCACCGGCUAACUCCGUGCCAGCAGCCGCGGUAAUACGGAGGGUGCGAGCGUUAUCCGGAUUUAUU
RNAcentral lists this ribosomal RNA (223 nucleotides) under uncultured bacterium. RNAcentral describes it as "partial 16S ribosomal RNA". It matches the Rfam family "Bacterial small subunit ribosomal RNA", at positions 335 to 555 of the family's 1533-position model. The record is from RNAcentral.